RNAcentral lists this unclassified non-coding RNA (299 nucleotides) under Hevea brasiliensis (rubber tree). The record is from RNAcentral. Lineage: Eukaryota; Viridiplantae; Streptophyta; Magnoliopsida; Malpighiales; Euphorbiaceae.
UGCAAUUGCAUUUUUCCACAGCUUUUCAGCAACUGAGUGGUUGAUCCAACGACUAGAAAUACUCUGCGCCAUAGUUCUCUCAUCCUCAGCCUUAGCCAUGGUUUUACUUCCCUUUGAAGCUUCUGACUCAGGAUAUAUUGGCAUGGCUCUAUCGUAUGCUCUUUCAUUGAACGUGUUCCUAGUUGCUUCGGUCCAAACCCAAUGCAUGCUAGAAAACGCCAUUAUUUCAGUAGAAAGAUUAGAGCAAUACAUGCAUAUUCCUAGCGAACACACUGAAUUUUUACAAGACAAUAGACCUG